RNAcentral lists this unclassified non-coding RNA (286 nucleotides) under Hevea brasiliensis (rubber tree). The record is from RNAcentral. Lineage: Eukaryota; Viridiplantae; Streptophyta; Magnoliopsida; Malpighiales; Euphorbiaceae.
GGGGAAAGAAAAUGAUAUGACAUCAAGAACGUUCUUGUCAUCCUUAGAAUUCAAUCCAUCAGUCAAUUUUUACUCCUUUUUCUAACCUGGGAAUAUAAACAGAUUUUCACUUUACUUUGGUAAAUGGAAAUCCAAAAGAACAUUGACAAUUGUGAUUUAAAAAUAAGCUACUAAUUGUGGUGUCCGGCAAAAUUGAUGAAGAAUUGAUUUGGACCUAUACUUCAUUCUCCCUGUGCUCAGAUCAUAAAGUAUAGGUGCAAAUCGAACUUGAUUAUUUGAAGAAACU